UUUUGGAGGCCCCAGCGAGAUCCCCGCGUGGGAACCCAUGGUUCGGCCGAUACUCCGUGUCGGGAUCCAGCAGGAGACCCUCGGACAUAGACCUCAGAAAACCUCUGGAGGAAACUCUGCUCCCUGUGCCAAACUGGAAUGGCCAGCUUUUGAGGUGGGAUGGCCAGCCGAAGGGACUUCUGACCCCAGUAUUUGCCGGAAGCUGUGGGACAAAGUCACCGGUCGCCCUGGCCAUCCAGACCAAUUUCCCUACAUAGACAUCUGGGUUCAGGCUUGUGAGGAACCCCCAGCUUGGCUGCAGCACUGCUCUCUUCGAACAGACACUCGCAUUUUAGUCGCUGCCCCGGAAGGACCCCGGGGACUUAAGACCCAGACUCCCAAGCAGGUACUCUCGCAGGAACCUGACCCCCUAGACCCCUUGGGAGGGCCUCCGCCCUAUGUGGAAUCCUCCACCUCCUCAGAUAGAUCAUGCUCUAGACCCUGAAAUCCUUUCCUUCCUCCAUCUGUUCAACCUUUGGCCCCUACCCUUCUCUAUCCUCCUCUCCCUGAGGGGCCCCAGUCCCUGGACUCAGUGACUUCUUCCCCACACACGCAAGCUGGGGCUGUGUAUGGACCUAGCAAGGUCCCCGUGGGGAAACUAGUUAGUAGGCUCCUCUCUUGCCCCUUCGGGAGACUGAGCAAUGUUACUAUAUUUAUAUCCCUUUCACUACCAGUGACUUAUACAACUGGAAACACCAGAAUCCUCCUUUUUCAGAGAAACCCCAAGCUCUAAUCUCUCUCCUGGAGUCUAUCUUUCAUACCCAUGAUCCUACUUGGGAUGAUUGCCAACAACUCCUCCAGGCCCUUUUUACCUCAGAGGAGAGGGAAAGAAUCUGGGGACAAGCUGUAAGGUCGGUACUAGAUGGAACAGAGGGCCCCCUAGAUGAGCAGCAGCUGGCCUGUAUUGAGGCAUAACUCCCAUCCACCCGACCCCGCUGGCAAGUUAAUUCCUUGGGUAGGAGAGAGGCUGUCCAGAACUAUCGUCAGCAUCUCCUGGCUGGCCUGAGGGGAGCUGCUUGGAAGCCUACCAAUUUGAGCAAGGUAAGCGAGGUCCUUCAAGGAUCAGAGGAAUCAAUCCCCUUCUGCCUUUUUGGAGUGUCUGUUGGAAGCAUACCGUAUGUAUACUCCCAUCGAUCCAGACGGUCCUGCAAAUCCGCAGGCAAUAAAUUUGGCAUUUGCUACCCAGUCGGCCCCAGACAUUAAAAAGAAGCUGCAAAGGCUAGAAGGAUUUGAGGGAGAGAACAGAGAAAAGUUGAUGAGUGUAGCCAUGAAGGCGUUUAACAACAGGAAUCCCCCGGAAGAGAAAAUGGCCAAGAGACUGGAAAAAGCGACCAUAGCCACCUUGGCUGAUGGAGGAUUUGUCCAAAAAGAAAGACCUGAAAACAAAGGAGGGAACAAGGGAAAGAUCUGACCCUCAUUAGAAAAAGAUCAGUGUGCCUAUUACAAAGAAAAGGGCCAUUUUAAAAGGGAUUGUGAAAAGCUAAAAAAAAAAAAAAAGAAAAAAGGAGGCCCAAAAGGAAAAAGGUGGAAUCCUCUUAGCAGAUAAAAAAGAUUGACGUGGUCAAGGCUCAUGGCCGCUUAACCCUAGUGAGCCUAUGGUGACUUUGGAAAUAGGGGGAACAGAUGUCCAGUUCCUUGUGGACACUGGUGCGGCCCAUUCUGUCCUAAAGACUCCCCUUGGAUCCCUCACUUCCUUAAAAACCUCCAUUACUGGAGCCACAGGAAAGUCGGCCUCCUACCCUUGGACCACUAAACAAACUGUAAAUCUAGGAAAAGGCACCGUCACCCAUUCCUUCUUAGUUAUCCCUGAGUGCCCACACCCACUGCUGGGAAGAGAUUUGCUAUGAAAAUUGGGGGCUGUUAUUUCCUUUGAGCCUGAAGGAGGGACUUUUGAACUCAAGCCACCCUCUGGCAUUAUGGUAACGGUUCCCCUAGAAGAUAAAUUUAGAUUGCUAAAGGAGGGCGCAGAGCCCCCCAAACAAAAAUGGGACUACCUUCAGAAAAAGUUUCCCAGGGUAUAGGCUGAAGCCAAUCCACCUGGGCUGGCCAAACACCAUGCCCUGGUGGUGGUCCAAUUGUUGGCCUCUGCUACCCCCGUCCAUGUGCAACAAUACCCCCUCCGGCUGGAGGCCAAGGUGGGGAUCUCUAAGCACAUCCACCGACUCCAGGAAGUCGGCAUCUUGGUCCCUUGCCAAUCAGCCUGAAAUACACCCCUGCUUCCUGUGAGGAAGGCUGGCACCUCAGACUUCAGACCGGUACAGGAUUUGUAGGAGGUAAACAGCCGGGUGGAGACCAUCCACCCAACGGUACCAAACCCCUAUACUCUAUUGAGUCUCAUCCCUCCUGCUCAUGUAUUGUACUAGGUAUUAGACCUCAAAGAUACAUUUUUCAGCCUGCCCCUAGCACUAGUGAGCCAGCCCCUCUUUGCCUUCAAAUGGACUGACCCAGACACCGGGACUACCGGACAACUGACAUGGACCCGGUUGCCACAGGGAUUCAAGAACUCCCCCACUCUGUUUGGAGAAGCUCUCAGCAAAGAUCUAUGAGAGGUAAGGAGAGUUUUUCCCCAAGCAACUAUUCUUCAGUAUGUAGAUGACCUCCUGGUGGCAACUUCGACCAAUGAAGAAUGUCUUGUGGCCACCGAGGGCCUCCUGGAAGCCCUCCAAGACCUGGGAUAUCGGGUGUCCUGGAAGAAAGCUCAGCUCUGCCAGACCAAGGUAACCUACUUGGGCUAUAUUCUUGAAAAGGGAAAGAGGAGGCUGGCAGAAUCAAGGGCAUCAGCAAUUCUCCAGAUUCCGGAGCCGAGCUCAAAGAAACAGGUGCGGGAAUUCUUAGGGGCGGUUGGGUAUUGCAGAAUUUGGAUCCCUGGCUUUGCUGAGAUUGCCAAACCCCUGCACAAAGCCACCACGGGGGGAAAUACGCCCCUCAAAUGGACUGAGGCAUGCCAGCAGGCAUUUCAAUUGCUUAAGACUGUGCUUACAUCAGCACCUGCCCUGGCACUGCUAGACUUAAACAAGCCCUUCACUCUGUAUGUAGUGGAGAAAAAUGGGGUAGCCAAGGGAGUGAUUACUCAGCUUUUGGGACUGUGGAAGCGGCCAGUGGGAUACCUCUCGAAAAAGCUAGACCCAGUGGCCCGAGGGUGGCCUAUCUGUCUGAGGAUGGUAGCAGCAGCAGCUGCUCUGACCCGAGAGGCUGACAAACUGACAUUUGGACAGGAUUUGACUUUGAUCACUCCCCAUGCCAUUGAGCCCUUGUUAAAUUGCUCACCUAGCAAGUGGCUGUCUAACGCCAGACUGUUACAGUAUCAAGGACUCUUGUUAGAACAGCCACACAUUAAGUUUGCCAAUGCCGUUAGCCUUAACCCAGCUACUCUACUCCCGGAAUCCGACGAACAGAUGCCCAUCCAUGAUUGCCUCGAGACUCUUAAAAACUUGAGGGGAGGGCAUCCAGACUUAACAGACCAGGCCCUCCCCUGUGCAGAGGCAAUGCUCUACACUGAUGGGUACAGUUUCGUGCGUGAUGGAGUGCGGUAUCCUGGGGCAGCAGUGGUCAACCAGGACCAACAGGUGGAAUGGGAGCAGGGGCUACCCCAAGGGACAUCAGCACAGAGGGCUGAGCUGAUUGUUUUGACUAAGGCUCUGGAACUAGAAAAAGGCAAAAGGAUAAAUAUUUUCACUGACAGCCAUUAUGCUUUUGCCACCACCCAUGUGCACGGAUAGAUUUAUCAGAACCGAGGGCUGCUGACCUCUGAAGGAAAGAAAAUUAAAAACAAGACUGAGAUAUUGACAUUCCUACAAGGCAUCUGGUUGCCCCGAAAAGUUGCCAUCAUCCACUGCCGUGGACAUCAAAAGGGGUCUAGCCCUGAGGUGAUUGGUAAUAAUGCAGCUGAUCAGGCAGCAAAACAAGCUGCCCAAAGAUCAGUGGGGAAGCAAAUCGUUCUGCUUCCUACACCGGUACUCCCCAAAAACCCUAAAUACACAGAUAAAGAAGUAACAAAAAUGGACAGGAAAUGCUGGACCCAAGGUAAGCAUGGGUGGUGGACGACUAAUGAUGGAAAGGUGGUGCUCCCAGCCACUGUAGCAGACACGCUGCUACGCAAACUACAUGAGUCCACCCACCUCGGCGAGAAAAGGAUGAUGGCUGCCCUGCGACCCCAUUUCAUCAGCGAGGGAUUGGCCCAAAAGGCCCAGGACAUGGUGAGACAAUGCCCCACCUGCCUCAAGGUAAAUACAAAUCGGGUGACCGGACCCCCCGGGGUCCGACAGAGGAUUAACUCCAGGAAAACAUUGGGAAUUGGACUUUACUGAAAUAAAGCCUGACAUGUAUGGGUAUAAAUAUUUACUAGUUUUUGUGGAUACCUUUUCAAGAUGGAUAAAAGCAUAUCCCACUAAGAGAGAGACAGCUGAAGUAACCAUCAAAAAGCUCUUGACAGAAAUAGUUCCUCAUUUUGGCUUGCCCCUAGCCCUGGGGUCCGACAUUGGCCCAGCCUUCAUGGCUAAAAUAUCUAAAUUGAAUGAUAAAGUUCUAGGGAUAAAAUGGAAUUUACAUUGUGCCUAUAGGCCUCAGAGUUCAGGACAGGUAGAGAGAGCAAAUCAAACUUUAAAAGAGGUCCUAACUAAAUUAUGCCUGGAGACUAAAUUAGAUUGGGUGGAGCUUCUCCCCUUUGCCCUUCUCCACACUAGGUGCACUCCUAAGCCGCCCUUUAAUCUGUCACUCUUCCAGAUCGUUUACGGGUGAUCUCCCCCGAUCGUCCCCAUGAUAGAUUUGGAGUUGGGGGAAAAGCUUUCCCACCUCCAGCUCCUUAAGUCUUUAAAGGCUGUCCAUCAGCUUCAGUCAGAAUUACAUGACAGAUUGAGAAAGACCAUGCCUGACCCCAACAAGAAACCUCUACAACCCUUGCCCUAUAAGCCGGGAGAUUUGGUUUUCAUUUGCAGGUUCGACUCCAAAACCCUGGAACCCUGUUGGAAGGGACCGUUUCCCAUUCUCCUGGUGACUCCCUCAGCCAUGAGGGUAGCUGGACAUUCGGCCUAGAUACAUCACAAUCAUCUAAAGGUGGCACCACCCCCAACCCCAGCAUCAGGAUGGCGAGUCGUUCGACAAGCAAAGGACCCCUUAAAGAUAAGACUGAUCAAGGACUGAGAUGGAUAAUGUGGGGACUUAUAAAAACCCUGGUCCUGUCGGCUCGGGUACAAAGAGAUGUUCAACAGCUGGUGCUCUCCAGCCAUACCCACCAGAACUGGAUGUGGUCUCUUAAAAAUUCACUUACCAGAGCCCUAAUUGCCACUGUUACAACAGAUCAACAGCCCGUUUUUCAGGUAGACCUGUCGGCCCUAGGGUUUCCCAAGGUUUAUUUUGGUGGGAAGGGCCCGAACACUAUAGGACCAAAUUUCCAAACAAUCGGCCUAUACACAUGCCUCAUAGGAAAGGAUCCCAACUGUGAUGGGGGGCCAGGAUAUCACUGUUAUUACUGGGGCUGUGAGUCAAUAGCCCCGUGGGUAAACAAUGAUCCCUUUUUGGCUAUAACUUGGUCUACAAACCCGACAUGUAACCCAGAAAACUGUGAGCCUGUAGAAUUUAGACUAAAACAAUGACAGAACCCCUUCAAAGAUUGGAAAGAGGGAAAUACAUGGACGCUAGUGCUGUAUGUCACUGGAAAAGACCCUAUGACAGACAUCAUCAUCCAGCGAAGUCUAGUAGUGACACGGGCCCAACCAGUGGGAAACCUUUAUAAGAUAUUGAGCCCCAAAAAGACAGUGGCCAACCCCACAGGUGCCAAGGAAAUUCCACUUCCUCGCCGCCGAGAAAAAAAACACGCACUCACCCUGCCGGGUAACACCCUACCCAACAAGGUGCCCGUAACUGCCCGAGUUGCCAAUCCAACCAUACUUAAAAAUGCUGGAUGCUAUGUUUAUGGUGUUAAAUGGAUCAAAUAAUAAUGUUACUAAUAAAUGUUGGAUGUGUCUAAA
Molecule: non-coding RNA, 6005 nt
Organism: Heterocephalus glaber (naked mole-rat)
Lineage: Eukaryota; Metazoa; Chordata; Mammalia; Rodentia; Bathyergidae
Source: RefSeq, a predicted model, not a curated record